Long non-coding RNA from Nematostella vectensis (starlet sea anemone), 492 nucleotides. RefSeq lists it as uncharacterized. The transcript is spliced from 2 exons. The record is from RefSeq and is a predicted model, not a curated record. NCBI's taxonomy places the organism in Eukaryota, Metazoa, Cnidaria, Anthozoa, Actiniaria, Edwardsiidae.
UACUAGAGACAACAAAAUGAGUGUUAUGAUCAUAAAUGAGCUAUUAUUGCACCACCCGCCAGCCCAACACCUUUCCCUCUGGAUUUCUUUGAUGCCACCAUUUCUGCGACUCUAAAUGCUUAUUUUUGUUUCAUCUUGCUAAUUUCACUGCAUUUCAGCUGCAACGAGAGUGAAUAGCUUUUCAUAUGCAUUUAUUUACCCUUGUAAGAUUUGAUUCCAUUGGUGAAUCACACUAUUGCUAUGGUGAUUUGUUACCUUGGUCGGCGCCUUUGAGCGACAUUUCUUUGCCGUGACACUUGUACGUGCAUCCGUCGUAACAGCAUUUGUUCCCAGUCCCACAGUCCACAUCACUAAGACACUCCAUCGCCACUCGAACCGGACAAUUUGUCGGACGAGCCACGACCGGACAUUUGAUAAGCAAGCGAGCUAUGGAUCGGGAGAGCAUAUAAAAAUGUAAUCAUGACACCAAGAGGCAUGACGCUUUAUCGAGAA